Anthonomus grandis grandis is the source of this 1140-nucleotide RNA transcript. RefSeq lists it as uncharacterized. The record is from RefSeq and is a predicted model, not a curated record. The transcript is spliced from 6 exons. NCBI's taxonomy places the organism in Eukaryota, Metazoa, Arthropoda, Insecta, Coleoptera, Curculionidae.
ACCACCACCGACUGGUACUUUGCUAUUUGACAUAGUGUCAAAUUAUUAUUAUUUUUUGUCUUCAAUUUGGGGCUAAAUUUAAGAAAAAAAUACAUGAUGAAACUACGACAAGUAAAAUCGGAGUGUCCUUCAAAUUUUAUGAAUAAGAAGAUCAAAAAAGAAAGAACCAAGACUCCCUUAAGAUAUUCAAGAAGAUUAAGAAAACUCCCUCCAGAAAAAAUUCAAUUUUUUGAUAAUAUUCGAGAUGAAUUAAAACGUAGCAGGAAUAAUGACAAGAUUGUUAUUUCCCAACCCUCGGCCUACUCGUAUUUCUUCAGUUCAAACAAAAAAAGGCAGCUAAGGCUUCCUCAAAAAAUUAAAAAUUCAAAAGAAGUUAUCAGUAUAUUUAGUGCACCCAAGAUUUGCAUCAAAGGCUCUUCCAUGAGAAAGAUAAGCGAAGAAAUGCCAGUGAAAGUCAAAGUAAAAGGAAUUACCGUCCAGCCAAACAUAACGUUUAAGAGACCUUUGCAUCCUCUUAGCCCAAAUCCUGUCAUGGUUACCAAAGUAAAAAAAGAACGUACAUCCGAUGUAGAGAAAAUUUUAAAUCAGAGGAAAAAGUUUGUAUUGGAAGUGCUAAACAAGGGAAAUAUCAAAGACAUCGAAAAAUUACCGACUAUUGGGAGUAAAACAGCCGAAAUGAUAAUAUUAUACAGUAGGGAAGCCCAAGCGGAGAUUUUGCGCCUUACUGGAGCGUGUCAGAAAAUCAUAUAGGAAGAAACCUUAUACGUACUUAAUGUAACUGUACCACAUAUGGAUCCUUACUAUAGAGGCGUGCGUUGACAGCAGUCCGUCAGAUUAGUAAAAUAGUAGUAUCAGAUUAGUAGUCAUCAGAAAAACGCGUUAGAUUAAGCCAAGGACCUAAUCUUCUCAAUCCAAUAGAUCUCCAUGGAGCUUUAGUAACUGCAAAUUUCGGAUUUUAAGUCUUUGUACAAUUAUUAUUUAACGUACAGUGUUUUUAAAAAAUUACGUGCGAAGCCUUUGAGCUUCAAAUGGGGUAUUAUUAAAUAUUUCGUACAUACAGGGUGUCGUGUAAAUUGAGGGUUGAUACUUACUCUGUUAUUGUAGAUAGGAUACCCUAUAGUAUACCUCAUUACAGUAUUG